UGGCUGUCCAGAUCACGGAUCCCGAAGGCAAGCCGAAGAAGACACACAUCCAAGACAACCAUGACGGCACGUAUACAGUGGCCUACGUGCCAGACGUGACAGGUCGCUACACCAUCCUCAUCAAGUACGGUGGUGACGAGAUCCCCUUCUCCCCGUACCGCGUGCGUGCCGUGCCCACCGGGGACGCCAGCAAGUGCACUGUCACAGGUGCUGGCAUCGGCCCCACCAUUCAGAUUGGGGAGGAGACGGUGAUCACUGUGGACACUAAGGCGGCAGGCAAAGGCAAAGUGACGUGCACCGUGUGCACGCCUGAUGGCUCAGAGGUGGAUGUGGACGUGGUGGAGAAUGAGGACGGCACUUUCGACAUCUUCUACACGGCCCCCCAGCCGGGCAAAUACGUCAUCUGUGUGCGCUUUGGUGGCGAGCACGUGCCCAACAGCCCCUUCCAAGUGACGGCUCUGGCUGGGGACCAGCCCUCGGUGCAGCCCCCUCUACGGUCUCAGCAGCUGGCCCCACAGUACACCUACGCCCAG
Molecule: long non-coding RNA, 533 nt
Filed under: Homo sapiens (human)
Lineage: Eukaryota; Metazoa; Chordata; Mammalia; Primates; Hominidae
Description: HSALNT0287675
Source: RNAcentral